RNAcentral lists this ribosomal RNA (483 nucleotides) under uncultured bacterium. RNAcentral's name for it is "partial 16S ribosomal RNA". It matches the Rfam family "Bacterial small subunit ribosomal RNA", at positions 30 to 506 of the family's 1533-position model. The record is from RNAcentral.
AUUGAACGCUGGCGGCAGGCCUAACACAUGCAAGUCGAGCGGAUGAAGGGAGCUUGCUCCUGGAUUCAGCGGCGGACGGGUGAGUAAUGCCUAGGAAUCUGCCUGGUAGUGGGGGAUAACGUCCGGAAACGGGCGCUAAUACCGCAUACGUCCUGAGGGAGAAAGUGGGGGAUCUUCGGACCUCACGCUAUCAGAUGAGCCUAGGUCGGAUUAGCUAGUUGGUGGGGUAAAGGCCUACCAAGGCGACGAUCCGUAACUGGUCUGAGAGGAUGAUCAGUCACACUGGAACUGAGACACGGUCCAGACUCCUACGGGAGGCAGCGGGGGGGAAUAUUGGACAAUGGGCGAAAGCCUGAUCCAGCCAUGCCGCGGGUGUGAAGAAGGUCUUCGGAUGGUAAAGCACUUUAAGUUGGGAGGAAGGGCAGUAAGUUAAAACCUUGCUGUUUUGACGUUACCAACAGAAUAAGCACCGGCUAACUUCGU